AAAGCAUCAUCCGUAGUAAGUAUAAUGAUCACUACUGCUAUUUCUAGUUAUAGAAUAUCUUUUUUUUCAGAGUUAAUGUCCUGAUUCAGUAAGAAAUGACCAGAGAACUCCAAAACAAUUUGAGGCAUAGAAUUGUAAUAUUCAACAGGUUAGUAAAAUGUAAAAGCUGCAUGAAAGUUUAUAGAUUUUAAAAACCAAAUUAAUUAAGUAAUCCAAAAAUCUACUUGUUCUCCAUGUCCCUUUAUUUAGGUACUAUGAAGAUAGGUUAUGAGAGAGAGAGAGAGAGACAAAGAAAAAGUUUGAGAAAAUAAUCAUGUGUUUGCAUACCUAAUUUUGGAAUUCAGGGGUCUCAGCCAAGAACUCACAAAGGUAGUGGAAAAAUUAUUUUUCUCCUCUCAAGGGAAAAUCCACAAAGGUGGGCAGAGAACCAGAGACAAGUUUGCCUUGAGGUAAGUUACAAAAUCUGCUUUACCCUUUGGUUUUCUUUGCUUUAUAGACUUCUGGGAAUAAAGAGCAAGUCCCCAAACCAGAAGAAGAUCAAAUAAGAG
Molecule: long non-coding RNA, 548 nt
Filed under: Sus scrofa (pig)
Lineage: Eukaryota; Metazoa; Chordata; Mammalia; Artiodactyla; Suidae
Description: lncRNA (ENSSSCG00070024019.1)
Source: RNAcentral